UGGGGAAUAUUGCACAAUGGGGGAAACCCUGAUGCAGCGACGCCGCGUGAACGAAGAAGGUAUUCGUAUCGUAAAGUUCUGUCCUAUGGGAAGAUAAUGACAGUACCAUAGAAGAAAGCUCCGGCUAAAUACGUGCCAGCAGCCGCGGUAAUACGUAUGGAGCGAGCGUUGUCCGGAAUUAUUGGGCGUAAAGGGUACGCAGGCGGUUUAAUAAGUCGAAUGUUAAAGAUCGGGGCUCAACCCCGUAAAGCAUUGGAAACUGAUAAACUUGAGUAGUGAAGAGGAAAGUGGAAUUCCUAGUGUAGUGGUGAAAUACGUAGAUAUUAGGAGGAAUACCAGUAGCGAAGGCGACUUUCUGGACACAAACUGACGCUGAGGUACGAAAGCGUGGGGAGCAAACAGG
This 403-nucleotide ribosomal RNA is filed under the name bacterium. Its description in RNAcentral is "partial 16S ribosomal RNA". It matches the Rfam family "Bacterial small subunit ribosomal RNA", at positions 355 to 776 of the family's 1533-position model. The record is from RNAcentral.